GUGGGGAAUAUUGGACAAUGGGCGAAAGCCUGAUCCAGCCAUGCCGCGUGUGUGAAGAAGGUCUUCGGAUUGUAAAGCACUUUAAGUUGGGAGGAAGGGCAGUAAGUUAAUACCUUGCUGUUUUGACGUUACCGACAGAAUAAGCACCGGCUAACUUCGUGCCAGCAGCCGCGGUAAUACGAAGGGUGCAAGCGUUAAUCGGAAUUACUGGGCGUAAAGCCCGCGUAGGUGGUUUUGUAAGUUGGAGGUGAAAUCCCCGGGCUCAAGCUGGGAACUGCCUCCAAAACUGCAUGACUAGAGUACGGUAGAGGGUAGUGGAAUUUCCUGUGUAGCGGUGAAAUGCGUAGAUAUAGGAAGGAACACCAGUGGCGAAGGCGACUACCUGGACUGAUACUGACACUGAGGUGCGAAAGCGUGGGGAGCAAACAGGAUUAGAAACCCUUGUAGUCC
RNAcentral lists this ribosomal RNA (450 nucleotides) under uncultured bacterium. RNAcentral's name for it is "partial 16S ribosomal RNA". It matches the Rfam family "Bacterial small subunit ribosomal RNA", at positions 354 to 796 of the family's 1533-position model. The record is from RNAcentral.